GGCAUGUUCUUAUUAGUUCAGGUUGGUCUCUCCGGUUCUUUUCGCCAAUGGCUUGAUGUACGCACUGGCAACCUCUUACUGGAAGGAUUCGGUAUGCCUCUGUUCGAGAGAUGGGAUAUGAAGAAAUGGUGUUCUGUAGGUUGUCUUC
Triticum dicoccoides is the source of this 148-nucleotide long non-coding RNA. RefSeq lists it as uncharacterized. The transcript has 3 exons. The record is from RefSeq and is a predicted model, not a curated record. NCBI's taxonomy places the organism in Eukaryota, Viridiplantae, Streptophyta, Magnoliopsida, Poales, Poaceae.